UUGACUCUAAACCGAUGCCUGAUAUCUGUAGUGGACUGGAUGAGCUUCCCCAAGAUCUUCAUCUACCAGAAAUUUACCUGUGAGAAAGAAGACUGAGGCCAGCUCCUGUUUCAAUGAAGAAGCAAAAAAUGACCUCCAGUGGAGGCUUCUAUCAAGGCAGUGAAGGAUGUACUCUAUUGAUUCCAACACCCUGCUACACUCUCUUGAAUCAUGCUUUUCUGAAGACUUUCCUGAACACUACAGAAUGGAUUUGGAGGAGAACAAUGCAAGAAAUUUUCCACUUCCCUCAGCAUUCAGACUCCAUUGCUGAUUUCUUCCACCACCGCCCCCAGGGGAAGCCCAGAUACAUGAAUCAGCAGUUGAAAACCACAAGCCACCUCUUCCUCAUAAUCAGGCCCUUGCUUUCUUGCUUGUGUCAGUGUGUAGAAUUCUUAAGAAUAGCAGCGACUAGCAAGUUUAUAUUGAUUCUGCUCUCCUAUAGUGGCAGCAGAAGCAGUCUCAGUUCCUCUAAACUGCCUAGGUCUAGGAAGUCCUCAUAAAUGCCCUUGUUUGGGAGAACAGAGGCAUGAGGCAUGUGGGAUGUACCAAGGAGGAGAAGGUACCUUCAUAACACAAAGCACCUUUUAAAAAAUGACCAAUAUUUCCAAGCUCUGACUAAUGUUUUCCUGUCUUCAGAGUCAUAUUUUGUUCAUCAACUCAGUGUUUUUGGGGUGAAAGAUGGAAGACACAUCCUUUCUGCUACAAAUUAUACUUAAUAAUGUGGCCUUUAUUUUCUUCUUUCACUUGAGCAUUAUAUAAUGGAUGCAUGUAUUUUAGCACAAAACUAGAUGCAACAGAACAGCCAUGUGAACGUAAUCUAUGUGUCUGUCCUGUUUAUAUAUAAAUUUGAGUGAAUAUUUCAUACUAAACAUGAAAGAGCACCCUCCCACCCUGUCUUGGUGUCCUGCAUUGCUUUUAAGCCAACUUCUUCUUGCUCAGCUCAAAAAGCAACAGGUUUCAAUGAGGUAUGUGUGGCAGAAUUUCCUUCACCCCUGUUUUAUAUGUAAACUGGUACUCAGGUGCCCACACAUGUCUAGCUGAGCCUCAAGAUCAUCAUCUUAUUAUCUCUUUUAAAGCAAUAUUUACCAUUCUGGUAAGUCGUAUUUCCUUAUCCUUUUGAACAAAGUUAUCUGAAAUUACUGUACUAAGGAGAUCAGGACUCCAUUUGCAUUGACAAUUUCCCUUCCAAAUCUUCAUACAUUAUAGUGGUGCUUUCUAGAAGUACACAAGAAAAUGUUUCAUUAUUGCAGUCAUUUUUACUAUCAAACUCUUAUUCUAUUAUCCAUUCAUUAAGAUUACACUCAUUGGGUUAUCGAUCUGUUUAAAUCACAUUGAAUUCAUAUGCCAUAUAUUUUUCUUUCUUUCUGUUGCCUGCAAAGGUUGCAACACAGGCUCCCUCUAAGCGGAUCCCCCACACACAGGCAAGAGAAGUUUCCCAAAACAACUCAGAGGCUGCAUUAAUGACAGCCAUGGAUAUUGCAUUCUGGAGAUUAACAUGGCAGCCCACACAGAUGGCCACCAAUUCUUAUCAUGAGCUCAGUUCCCCCUGCCAAAAAGUACUGAGUCUUUGGGUAAAUGGAAAAUAAAAUAGGAGCAGCCAUAGCAGUGUGGGAAUAAUUCAUUUCGUUCACUGUUUAAUGCAAACUUAACUUUAUUCCUUUUUAUAACUAAUACAGACACCAAAAUUCAGUUAUUCUUUCAUAUUUGCAUCUCAAUAGUGGAUUUCUUAAGUCAAAACACAUGUGCAAAUGUGUAUUUUAUGGAAAAGAAGAUACACAAAAUGCAACUAUUGUUGAAAACAAUGUUUAACAUUCAUUACAUCAAGAAAAUAGUGUGGAAAAAUGGUGUCUAUUUGGGAAAUGCUACAUUUUCAAAAGUGUGUCAUGUCCCCACAGGAGAAAUCCUCUUUGAA
Non-coding RNA from Pogona vitticeps (central bearded dragon), 1951 nucleotides. Lineage: Eukaryota; Metazoa; Chordata; Lepidosauria; Squamata; Agamidae. The record is from RefSeq and is a predicted model, not a curated record.